RNAcentral lists this ribosomal RNA (253 nucleotides) under uncultured bacterium. RNAcentral describes it as "partial 16S ribosomal RNA". It matches the Rfam family "Bacterial small subunit ribosomal RNA", at positions 524 to 776 of the family's 1533-position model. The record is from RNAcentral.
UACGUAGGGACCAAGCGUUGUUCGGAUUUACUGGGCGUAAAGGGCGCGUAGGCGGCUUGUCAAGUCACUUGUGAAAUCUCUGGGCUUAACCCAGAACGGCCAAGUGAAACUGACAUGCUAGAGUGCAGAAGGGGCAAUCGGAAUUCUUGGUGUAGCGGUGAAAUGCGUAGAUAUCUGGAGGAACACCGGUGGCGAAGGCGGCAUCCUGGACCGACACUGACGCUGAGGAGCGAAAGCCAGGGGAGCAAACGGG